Molecule: RNA transcript, 701 nt
Organism: Mus pahari (shrew mouse)
Lineage: Eukaryota; Metazoa; Chordata; Mammalia; Rodentia; Muridae
Gene name: NEDD8-conjugating enzyme UBE2F pseudogene
Exons: 1
Source: RefSeq, a predicted model, not a curated record
GGUGCCGGCUCACCUCGCCUGACUCGCGGUGCUCAGAAGAAAGGUGGCAGGAAUGCUAACGCUGGCAAGCAAGUUGAAGCGGGAUGAUGGUCUCAAAGGAUCCCGGACAUCAGCCUCCACAUCUGACUCUACUCGGAGGGUUUCUGUGAGAGACAAGUUGCUUGUUAAAGAGGUUGCAGAACUUGAAGCUAAUUUACCCUGUACAUGUAAAGUACAUUUUCCUGAUCCAAGCAAGCUUCAUUGCUUUCAGCUGACUGUAAGCCCAGAUGAGGGUUACUACCAGGGUGGAAAAUUUCAAUUUGAAACUGAAGUUCCCAAUGCCUACAACAUGGUGCCUCCCAAGGUGAAAUGCUUAACUAAAAGCUGGCACCCCAACAUCACAGAAACAGGGGAAAUAUGUCUAAGUUUACUAAGAGAACACUCAAUUGAUGUCACUGGCUGGGCUCCCACUAGAACAUUAAAGGAUGUUGUUUGGGGAUUAAAUUCUUUAUUUACUGAUCUUUUGAAUUUUGAUGAUCCACUGAAUAUUGAAGCUGCAGAACAUCAUUUGCGGGACAAGGAGGAUUUUUGGGACAAAGUGGAUGAAUACAUCAAACGCUAUGCCAGAUGAUAAGAGGAGAGAUCGCAGGUCUGAGGACUUUGUCACAGUUGUCUCUGAUGUGAAACAGCUCGAGGUAGCCCUCCUCCCCAUCCUCAUACUC